Molecule: long non-coding RNA, 678 nt
Organism: Oncorhynchus tshawytscha (Chinook salmon)
Lineage: Eukaryota; Metazoa; Chordata; Actinopteri; Salmoniformes; Salmonidae
Exons: 3
Source: RefSeq, a predicted model, not a curated record
AACAGAAUUCGCUUUCAUUGUCACACAAAAUAUUUCGCUGUUGUUUUCUCUCCGUUGUCAUAGAAACUCUUUAGCGUCUAAAAAUGGCGUCUUUACUUCCCUCCUACAAGAUAUAUUUUUCAGUUUACUGUCACUUAAACUGAGGUAAAUUAUUAUAUUUUAUCACCCAUUUGAUAUGUAUCUUGGGAUUGCUGAGAGUUAAAAACAGAUAGUCAACUUUAUCAGCACAAUGCUGGACUGUGCCUGUGGAGAAAGGCUACACAUCAAGACAGCAGCCAUGGUGAUAUGGAGAUCGUGGAAGAUUUCUUUGCGGAUUGAAUUCAAGGGUGCUGCACCUGGAGAAAAUAAGAUGACCCACGAUGACCAUUUGCAUGAUUCCCGCAUGCAGCAACAGGUAGGUGUGGUGUUUGGCCAGCAGAUUUGACAGUGCACCCAAGCACUGUGCCAUGGGAACUUUGAUUACCUGGAGUGCCUGCCCAAUGACUUACUGCUCAAAAUCCUGGCCUUCUUGGAACUGAAGGACGUUGCACUGCUGGCACAGACCACAAAGAGGUUCCACAAGGUGAGCCUGGGCUUUACAAACCCAAAGGACAGGUUUCUCAGAUGAAAAUGAAAUCUACUCCUGGGAAAAGAUUCAUAUUAAAAUAUAUAUUUAAAAAAUGGAAAUUCUCUUUUUAC